RNAcentral lists this long non-coding RNA (1070 nucleotides) under Rattus norvegicus (Norway rat). RNAcentral's name for it is "long non-coding RNA NONRATT000813". The record is from RNAcentral. Lineage: Eukaryota; Metazoa; Chordata; Mammalia; Rodentia; Muridae.
CCUGAGUUAAUGGGACUGAUUCAUGGGACGUCUGGCAGGAAGACAUCCCCCCCCCAGCUCACUCAGGGCCAUCCUCCAGACCCUGAUAAGCCCCUACUUGUGCUUUUCAGCCAUUGUGUCCUACAGAGAGCAUUCCAAGAAACCGGACAGCCCAAGCCUAACCAGAGGUGUUUCAAAUACAAAUGCUCCAUCAAUUUUGACAAACUUUUAAAAAUAAUGAGGACCUAAAGACCCUACCCUUCUCCUGAUUUAGUAGCUCUGUUCCAGGAACCAGGGGGCCAUAAAACCUUCUGGCGUCCCCUUAUCUCCUGGAGCCAUAAAACAAUCUUGUAACUUGUGGUACAUUCCCCUUUGACAUCCCCCAUCCCCUGGUGCUCACAGCCUCUGCCUUUAAAUACUCUUUUUCCCAGCCUCUCGGGGCCGACACCUCUGUCUCCUGCGCGGGAUACGUGUCGGCCCGGAGAUCUCUGUAAUAGGUCUCCGUAAUAAACCUCGCCUUUGCUUAUUACAUCCAAAAUGGUCUCUCUGUGUCUGGGGUCCGCGAUUUCCCAAGACUUGAGUAAGGGUCUCUCUGCGUGGGAUCUUUCAUAUUUAUGGGGGCUCGUCCGGGAUCUGUGCGACUACCCCAGACUCCGAAGACCCCUUGGAGGUGAGUUAGAUGUUUGUCUGAGUGUUUUUGUGUGAGCGGCGCCGCAAUUGUCAGUCUGUGUCUGUCUCUGUUUUGGUUCCGCCGUGUGUGUAUAUAUGUGUGUCUUAGUACUGGUCAGUGUUAAGAGGGCAGAUGGGUAUUCCUGCCCUGUGUUAAGAGGGCAGAUGGGUGUUCCUGCCUUGUGCUAAGAGGGUGGAUGUGUAUUCCUGCCCUGUGCUAGGAGGGUGGAUGUGUAUUCCUGCCCUGUAGGAGAGUGGAUGUGUAUCCCCACUCAGUGCAGCUGCCUUUGUGGUCCGUGAGGACCCCCUGGCUGCGGAAGGGGGGACGCCCCGGGCCCGCAAGGCUGCAGCCCCUGGAAGACGUUCCACGGGCGGAGAACAGUCGGGAGAGCCCGGCUAUGGACAGUCAGGAGGACCUGACU